GCUGGUGUGGCGGAAUAGGCAGACGCAAGGGACUUAAAAUCCCUCGGGGGCGACCUCGUACCGGUUCAAGUCCGGUUACCAGCA
RNAcentral lists this transfer RNA (84 nucleotides) under Candidatus Acetatifactor stercoripullorum. Its description in RNAcentral is "tRNA-Leu". It matches the Rfam family "tRNA". Rfam says of the family: Transfer RNA (tRNA) molecules are approximately 80 nucleotides in length. Their secondary structure includes four short double-helical elements and three loops (D, anti-codon, and T loops). The record is from RNAcentral. Lineage: Bacteria; Bacillati; Bacillota; Clostridia; Lachnospirales; Lachnospiraceae.